GAUGAACGCUGGCGGCGUGCCUAAUACAUGCAAGUCGAGCGGACAGACGAGGAGCUUGCUCCUCUGACGUUAGCGGCGGACGUGUGAGUAACACGCGUAUAACGUACCUAUCAGACUGGUAUAACUUCGGGAAACCGGAGCUUAUCCCGGAUAAUAUAUUGAACCGCAUUGGUCAAUAGUGAAAGACGGCUUUGCUGUCACUUCUAGAUGGAUCCCCGCCGCAUUAGGUAGUUGUGAAGGUAACGGGUUACCAAGGGGAGGCGGCGUAUCCGAGCUGAGAGGGUGAUCGGCCACACUGGAACGGAGACACGGUCCAGACUCCUACGGGAGGCAGCAGUAGGGAAUGGGCCGCAACGGGCGAAAGCCUGACGGAGCGACGCCGCGUGAGUGAUGAAGGUCUUGGGAUCGUAAAACUCUGUUAUUAGGGAAGAACAAAUGUGUAAGGAAAUAUGCCCGUCUUGACGGUACCGAAUCAGAAAGCCACGGCUAACUACGUG
RNAcentral lists this ribosomal RNA (497 nucleotides) under uncultured bacterium. Its description in RNAcentral is "partial 16S ribosomal RNA". It matches the Rfam family "Bacterial small subunit ribosomal RNA", at positions 28 to 507 of the family's 1533-position model. The record is from RNAcentral.